RNAcentral lists this ribosomal RNA (253 nucleotides) under uncultured bacterium. Its description in RNAcentral is "partial 16S ribosomal RNA". It matches the Rfam family "Bacterial small subunit ribosomal RNA", at positions 524 to 776 of the family's 1533-position model. The record is from RNAcentral.
UACGUAGGUGGCAAGCGUUGUCCGGAUUUAUUGGGUUUAAAGGGUGCGUAGGCGGUCUAUUAAGUCAGUGGUGAAAUACUCCAGCUUAACUGGAGGGGUGCCAUUGAUACUGAUGGACUUGAGUCAAGUCGAGGUAGGCGGAAUUGACGGUGUAGCGGUGAAAUACUUAGAUAUGACAUAGAACACCAAUUGCGAAGGCAGCUCGCUACACGAAUAUUGACUCUGAGGCACGAAAGCGUGGGGAUCAAACAGG